RNAcentral lists this ribosomal RNA (253 nucleotides) under uncultured bacterium. RNAcentral's name for it is "partial 16S ribosomal RNA". It matches the Rfam family "Bacterial small subunit ribosomal RNA", at positions 524 to 776 of the family's 1533-position model. The record is from RNAcentral.
UACGGAGGGUGCAAGCGUUGCUCGGAAUUAUUGGGCGUAAAGGGCAGGUAGGUGGUCUCGUUUGUCUAGGGUGAAAGCCUUGAGCUUAACUCAAGAAGUGCCCUAGAAACGGCGAGACUAGAGUUCUGGAGAGGGUCGUGGAAUUCCCGGUGUAGCGGUGAAAUGCGUAGAGAUCGGGAGGAACACCAGAGGCGAAAGCGGCGACCUGGACAGAUACUGACACUCAACUGCGAAAGCGUGGGGAGCAAACAGG